AUAUCAAUAAGCGGAGGAAAAGAAACCAACAGGGAUUGCCUCAGUAACGGCGAGUGAAGCGGCAAGAGCUCAAAUUUGAAAGCUGGCUCCUUCGGGGUCCGCAUUGUAAUUUGCAGAGGAUGUUUCGGGAGCAGCCCCCAUCUAAGUGUCCUGGAACGGACCGUCAUAGAGGGUGAGAAUCCCGUAUGGGAUGGGGUGUCUGCGCCCAUGUGAAACUCCUUCGACGAGUCGAGUUGUUUGGGAAUGCAGCUCUAAAUGGGUGGUAAAUUUCAUCUAAAGCUAAAUAUUGGCCGGAGACCGAUAGCGCACAAGUAGAGUGAUCGAAAGAUGAAAAGCACUUUGAAAAGAGAGUUAAAAAGCACGUGAAAUUGUUGAAAGGGAAGCGCUUGCGAUCAGACUCGCCUUGGGGGUUCAGCCGGCAUUCGUGCCGGUGUACUUCCCCCAGGGCGGGCCAGCGUCGGUUUGGGUGGCCGGUCAAAGGCCCUUGGAAUGUAACGCCUCUCGGGGCGUCUUAUAGCCAAGGGUGCCAUGCGGCCUACCUGGACCGAGGAACGCGCUUCGGCUCGGACGCUGGCAUAAUGGUCGUAAGCGA
Molecule: ribosomal RNA, 592 nt
Filed under: uncultured fungus
Lineage: Eukaryota; Fungi
Description: eukaryotic LSU rRNA
Rfam family: Eukaryotic large subunit ribosomal RNA
Source: RNAcentral